GAGUUACCAUCCAGAUGUGAACAAGUAAGUUUAGUUUUUAUAUGAGCAUGAUCAUCCCCCUUCCUCCCCUCUGCUGUCCUUGUUUCCUUUAUCUUGUGUUAUCUUUGUUGUCUGAUAAAUUGUGGAGUGUGUAUGCUUAGUUUCUCUAAUUAGCUGUGGGGUAGAUUUAGAUGGUCAUUCUUUUCGUUCUUUUGGAGGCACUGAUCUCGGGUUUAGUUGCAUAUGAUGUGUACUAGCCUAUGGAAGAUAGUAUGCUUGGACUGGCUGUCUCUGAGCUUCCCCUCUUUCCCUCUUCUGACAUUUUUCCCUUUCCUUCUUCGCAACAUGUGGCCUAAACUAUUCUCAGCUUUUGGUCCUUUAUGUUUACAUAAUGAGAACUUAGAUUAGUCAAUAGCAAAUGUGCAAAGACUGGGAUUUGAUUGGAGCAGGACCUGGAGUAAUAUCAUUGGAGUGAAUAAAGAAUUGUAAGAAACAUCUAACUAAUGAUAUAUUUGACUGGCUAAUUAGUGCUAAAUUUAAGAAAUGUCGAAAGUACAAAGUGUCAUAACUCAUAACUGUUCAUGAUGUUUUUGAAGAUAGCUCAAAGGCACUUAAGUUGAUUGUCAUCUUCAGUUCAAAUUCCCAAGAGUAUGCAGGAAGCUAUAGCUUUAAUGCAUAACCUUUUCAAUGAGAAUCUACAUUAUACAAGUGGGUCCUGCCUGCCCCUAAGUUUGCUGACUGAGAACAGUGGUAUGCUACUUACCGACUAGGUUAAUACAAGAAUUGGCCAUCGCACUGUUACAUAUAGGAGAAGAAGAUAUAGAAAUAAGGAUAAUAAUGGGCAUAUGGGCACGUGAGUAGUUGUUUAAGAGGGAAAGUUUGUUAGUUGUCGAGAAUCUGUUGAAGUAGUUAAUUGUAAUUGGAGGGAAAUUGUAAGUAGUUGUAAUUAUUGGAGGAGGUUAGAGUAGUUAUAGGAAUUGGAGAGAAAGUUGUAAGUAGUUUCAGUUGUUGAAGGAGGUUAGAGCAGUUAUAGGAAUUGGAGGGAAAUGUGUAUAAAAAGAAUUUAGUUUACUUGUAAUUAGCAUUCUGAAUUCUGGAUGAAUAAUACUACUUUUCUUCUCUCUUCUUCUUGAUCUUUCUAUCUUCUUUCUCUUUUCUUCUCUACUCCAUCUAUCUUUCUAUCUUCUUCUUCUACCUUCUGUUAGGGUUUCUACCUAAUAUUAGGUAACAGUGAUCUAAAUCUUAAAAUUCAUUAAUUAUUUGAGAUUGACUUUCUGUAUAAGCAUCAAUAGCAAAAUCACUCAACUUACUUUCUGUAUAAGCAUGAGUAGGAAAAUCACUCAACUUUUGCUACAUCAUGUCUUUUGGCCUCCCCCCACCCCUUUUCAUUUACCUAUGAAUGAACAAACAAUAAGAGGUAAAGAUCAACCUUUCCACAACCCUCCCAAGCCCUCACUUAACAAGCAUCUUUGCUAAACAUAAACUACAAAGAAUUCCAAAGUCCUCUUUCAAUUAGAUUACUUUAUCAAAACAAAUUUCUCAAAUAUUACAUCUCUUACAAGCAAUCAUACUGUUCAAGUCAUUUGUGUCAUUUUCUAAACAUCAAAUAAAUCAUUAAAAGGGUCAUGCUUGUCUUAUUGGUUACUUUUGAGAAACCUAGAUCAUAGAUAACUGAGAUUCAACUCUAGUUUAGUUCUUGCUAACACCAACUUAUCUCCAUAAAACAUUAAACUAAUUCUAAGGAUCAACAUCAAGAUUAUGCAAUUGCAUUCUAUAGCCAAAUAAAAGAAAAAGGAAAGCCAGAAAGCAAUUAAUAGCAAAUUAUGGGCUAGAUAUUCCAUAAUAAACUAAAAACCCAGAAAUAAACAUACCCUGAAGG
RNAcentral lists this unclassified non-coding RNA (1858 nucleotides) under Hevea brasiliensis (rubber tree). The record is from RNAcentral. Lineage: Eukaryota; Viridiplantae; Streptophyta; Magnoliopsida; Malpighiales; Euphorbiaceae.